UAUCACUCUCGUAAUUUCUUUCAAAUCCAUGCCCAAAAUGCAUAGAAAAUUAGCUGGGUGCUCUCUUCCCCACCGCCCUCGUCAUUCUUACAUUUCGACGAAGUUUCCUUUUUCUCGAGCCUUUAUGUACGCAUAUUACAUAUAAAUAAACGCGUGUGUGAGUACCUGAAGGUGUGAGAUGUUGGAGAAUUCGGAGUGAGAAAUUGAGAGAAUUUUGGGGAUUAAAAGUGUGAAUUUCUUGAGAAAUGGAUUCUGAUUUGUGGGCUCGCCUUUCUAAUUCUUCUUCUUACAGGCGUUAUCAAUCUCGAUCAGGCUUGUCUAAUUGCCACACUUUCCUCUCUCCUUUUUUUCCCCAUUUCAUCCGUGCGAAAAAUGAUGAGAAAGUGUGAUAUAUUUUUUUCUUUAUUUUGAUUUUUAUGGGAAACUAGGGGAAAUUUUUAAUUUUGAUGUUAAAAUUAUGGAAGGACUAGAAAAUUAACGAAUAGGUGAAAGGGAAAGUGUUGAUUUUUCUUAAGGUUUUCUGCUUGUGGAUUUAGUGAGAUGAAGAAAAUUUUGGAUUGUCAAGGUUUUGUCUUAAAGCUGGAUUCUUCUUAUGAAAUUCCGAGAGUUUUCUGUUCAAUGUAAUGGGUAUAGGUUAUUAUAACAGAAACUGAAACAAGAAGAAUAAGUUGGAAAUCUGUACCUCUCCUCAUAAAAAUUGAAUUGAGCGUAGUUUUAUAGAAAAUUAGAAUUGUGAAUUAGGGUUUCUUUGCUUUAGAAAUCAGGCUUUGAGCGAAAGGAUUAAGAGCCAUUUUUCGCAAGUUUUUUCGUUGUGUUCUGUUUGGUGUUGGUGUAUCUAGAAUGUAAACUUAGAUCUUCUAGUUUUUUGAAGAAUCAUAAAGAAUGUCUCAAAUUUCAGUACUUGAAACAGAAAUGGAGUGCAGUUUUCUUGAUAGCGUGAUGUGUAGAUUAGAGCUUUUCUUGAUUGUGCAUUUUCAUGUAAUACAGACUCAUAUCGCGGAGAGGAGUACGAAGGGGAAGAAGAGCUGAGGCCAGAGUUUCUCUGUCC
Molecule: long non-coding RNA, 1048 nt
Filed under: Olea europaea subsp. europaea
Lineage: Eukaryota; Viridiplantae; Streptophyta; Magnoliopsida; Lamiales; Oleaceae
Source: RNAcentral